Molecule: long non-coding RNA, 1214 nt
Filed under: Macaca mulatta (Rhesus monkey)
Lineage: Eukaryota; Metazoa; Chordata; Mammalia; Primates; Cercopithecidae
Description: lncRNA (ENSMMUG00000052279.1)
Source: RNAcentral
GGGGUGUUGGGUAAGAAGGUUGAGAAAUGUCUUUGGUUGCUAGUAUAGCUUUCCCCCUUGUUAUACUGGGUAGAACAGGUAAAAUAAAGGAAUAAACAAAGUACUUUGAAAGCCUCUAUGUAUGGAAGUCAUGAGGAAAUAAAAGAGAAUAGCCUGAUCAGGAAUGAUUUCUCAGAAGAAGUUGCAUUUCACCUUAUUUUUCCACUCUACAUAUGACAAAACUGAGGCUCAGAAAUUGACUCCUUUAAGGAAAUUAUAGCUGGUGUUUCUCCAUCUCAUUAUGCAUAUUCUUUUACAUUGUUGUGUCAGUGGUCAAACCUGAAGUUCUCUAGUCAGAAACAAAUAUUUUUCAAGUUUUAACUAUAUGCUUUUUUAAAUAGAGAUUUAUGGGCUAUCUGUGAUGAAAAUAUAAGCAGACUAACACUAGUUAGUUUGUGCCAGCAUAAUUGUUUUUUUUUUUUUUUUUUUUUUCCCAAAAUCCCCAUUGGCUGUUUUGGAAAAAGAAUCUUAUUUAGAUGCCAUAUGCUAUUUAUCUAGACAAAGAUCGUAACUCUGCCAGCAGAAAUGAAAACUCUAUUGUUUCCAGAGACCAAGAUGAAAGCUUUCUGUGGGAAAUUUUACUCUCUAAUUACAGGCUGACAUUUGUUGAAAUUUUCUCUACAGAAGUUCAAAGACACAUUGGAUUGGAGACCCACAUACCCUCCACACAGGUAACAUCACUCAUACCCUAUGUGUAUAUUAGGGUGUGUUUAUCCAAGAAGAUUUAUGUAGGACUUUUCCUGGUACUUCCUGAAGUAUCAUCUCAACUGGAUGAUUUGGAAUGUAAACAUUCAGGCCCUGAACACACCUAGGGUAGUUAAUGCCUUUGAAAUACUAGAAAGGAGAGAGGACCUUGUUUGUUUGUCUUUUAAUCUACUAUUAAGAGCACACAGGAAACUAUCUUUUAAGUUAAUGAUUUUCCUCAAGAAUUAACUCUUUCUGAUUCCCAGAUUUUUAAGGUGUAGUUUCGCUUCCUAGCACUAGUCAAAGGCUUAGCUCAUGGUCUCUCUUUUCUCCCUCUCUGUGCAGGCUCUAUACAUGGUAAGAUUAAUUCCAUUAGGGUAUUUCAGCAUUACUGCCACUCACUUACUUUCCUGGGUGGGUAUCUUUGCUUCAUUGCAAAUCUCAAAAGAUUCUCCUGCUUUCUUGUAGUAUUUUUCAUUUCUUGAAAUAAU